This 916-nucleotide ribosomal RNA is filed under the name Escherichia coli. RNAcentral's name for it is "partial 23S ribosomal RNA". It matches the Rfam family "Bacterial large subunit ribosomal RNA", at positions 1025 to 1924 of the family's 2925-position model. Lineage: Bacteria; Pseudomonadati; Pseudomonadota; Gammaproteobacteria; Enterobacterales; Enterobacteriaceae. The record is from RNAcentral.
ACCCAGACCGCCAGCUAAGGUCCCAAAGUCAUGGUUAAGUGGGAAACGAUGUGGGAAGGCCCAGACAGCCAGGAUGUUGGCUUAGAAGCAGCCAUCAUUUAAAGAAAGCGUAAUAGCUCACUGGUCGAGUCGGCCUGCGCGGAAGAUGUAACGGGGCUAAACCAUGCACCGAAGCUGCGGCAGCGACACUAUGUGUUGUUGGGUAGGGGAGCGUUCUGUAAGCCUGUGAAGGUGUACUGUGAGGUAUGCUGGAGGUAUCAGAAGUGCGAAUGCUGACAUAAGUAACGAUAAAGCGGGUGAAAAGCCCGCUCGCCGGAAGACCAAGGGUUCCUGUCCAACGUUAAUCGGGGCAGGGUGAGUCGACCCCUAAGGCGAGGCCGAAAGGCGUAGUCGAUGGGAAACAGGUUAAUAUUCCUGUACUUGGUGUUACUGCGAAGGGGGGACGGAGAAGGCUAUGUUGGCCGGGCGACGGUUGUCCCGGUUUAAGCGUGUAGGCUGGUUUUCCAGGCAAAUCCGGAAAAUCAAGGCUGAGGCGUGAUGACGAGGCACUACGGUGCUGAAGCAACAAAUGCCCUGCUUCCAGGAAAAGCCUCUAAGCAUCAGGUAACAUCAAAUCGUACCCCAAACCGACACAGGUGGUCAGGUAGAGAAUACCAAGGCGCUUGAGAGAACUCGGGUGAAGGAACUAGGCAAAAUGGUGCCGUAACUUCGGGAGAAGGCACGCUGAUAUGUAGGUGAAGCGACUUGCUCGUGGAGCUGAAAUCAGUCGAAGAUACCAGCUGGCUGCAACUGUUUAUUAAAAACACAGCACUGUGCAAACACGAAAGUGGACGUAUACGGUGUGACGCCUGCCCGGUGCCGGAAGGUUAAUUGAUGGGGUUAGCGGUAACGCGAAGCUCUUGAUCGAAGCCCCGGU